AUUUAAAUAGCUUAAAUUAGAGUAUAAUAUUGAAGAUAUUAGGGUGAUUUAUUAAUCUUUAAAUA
Molecule: transfer RNA, 65 nt
Filed under: Precis andremiaja
Lineage: Eukaryota; Metazoa; Arthropoda; Insecta; Lepidoptera; Nymphalidae
Description: tRNA-Phe
Source: RNAcentral